RNAcentral lists this ribosomal RNA (759 nucleotides) under Chapsa niveocarpa. RNAcentral describes it as "eukaryotic LSU rRNA". It matches the Rfam family "Eukaryotic large subunit ribosomal RNA", at positions 167 to 1014 of the family's 3401-position model. The record is from RNAcentral. Lineage: Eukaryota; Fungi; Ascomycota; Lecanoromycetes; Ostropales; Graphidaceae.
GGUGGUGACUUAAGUUCCUUAGAACAGGACAUCAAAGAGGGUGAUAAUCCCGUCGUGUGAAGCUACUUCGACGAGUCGAGUUGUUUGGGAAUGCAGCUCAAAAUGGGUGGUAAAUUUCAUCUAAAGCUAAAUAUCAGCCAGAGACCGAUAGCGCACAAGUAGAGUGAUCGAAAGAUGAAAAGCACUUUGAAAAGAGAGUCAAAAAGCACGUGAAACUGUUUGGAGGGAAGCGCUUGUGAUCAGACUUGCAGUGUUCAGCCUCCUGAAAAGGCACUCGGCCAACAUCAGUUUCGGCGGCCGGACAAAGACCUGAAGAAUGUGGCUUCCCCGGAGUGUUAAGCUUGAAAUGCGGCCCGCCGGGACUGAGGAAAGCGCUUGCUCGGAUGUUGGCAUAAUGGUCAUCAGCGACCCGUCUUGAAACACGGACCAAGGAGUCGUGCCAUCCCGCGAGCGUUAGGGUGUAAAACCCUUGCGCGGAAUGAAAGUGAACGUAGGUGGGAGCUUUUUGCGCACCAUCGACCGAUCCGAGUUCGCGAGGAUUUGAGUAUGAGUGUGAUGGCACGGACCCGAAAGAAGGUGAACUAUUGCUGACUAGGCCGAAGCCAGAGGAAACUCUGGUGGAGGGUCGCAGCGGUUCUGACGUGCAAAUCGAUCGUCAAAGCUGGCAAUAGGGGCGAAAGACUAAUCGAACCUUCUAGUAGCUGGUUCCUGUCGAAGUUUCCCUCAGGAUAGCAGCAACGCAGUCUCAUGAGGUAGAGC